Prunus dulcis (almond) is the source of this 128-nucleotide long non-coding RNA. RefSeq lists it as uncharacterized. The transcript is spliced from 3 exons. NCBI's taxonomy places the organism in Eukaryota, Viridiplantae, Streptophyta, Magnoliopsida, Rosales, Rosaceae. The record is from RefSeq and is a predicted model, not a curated record.
UAUAGGAGAUGAUGAAGGUAAAGGGAUGUGUAACACGCCUAAACCAAAGGUUGGCAAUACGCAUGGGGUAGAGAAGAACCAAGAACAACUGAAAGUGAUGCAGCUAGAUGGUAGCCAUAUUCAAGCAC